UUAUUUUACAGAUAUAGAAAUUUAGAUCUGUAAGGACCAUCAGUGUGGUGAAGGUCACAUGAUUUCAGAGAACGUAUGGAAGCACCUGGAUGUUCAAGCAGAAGUUUGCUGCAGGGGCAGGGUGCUCAUGGAGAACCCCUGCUAGGAUAUUGUGAAAUGGAAAUGUGGGGUGGGCACCCCCACACAGAGUCCCCACUGGGGCACUGCCUAGUGGAGAUGUGAAAAGAAUGCCAUCGUCCUUCAGACCCCAGAAUGGUAGCUGUACCGACAGCUUGCACUGUGCACCUGAAAAAGCUGCAGACACUCAAUGCCAGCCCAUGAAAGCGGCUGGGAGGGAGGCUGUGUCCUGCAAAGACAGAGGUGCAGAGCUGUUCAAGACCAUGGGAACCUCCUCUUGGAUCAGUGUGACCCAAAUAUGAGACAUGGGGUCAAAAGAGAUCAUUUUGGACCUUUAAUAUUUGACUGCCCUGCUGGAUUUCAGAAUUUCAUGGGGCCUUUGUUUUAGCCAUUGUUUUUUCCAUUUGCAACAGCUGUACUUACCCAAUGCCCGUACCCCCAUUGUAUGUAGGAAGUAACUAAUUUUCUUCUUAUUUUACUGACUCAUAGGUGGAAGGGACUUGCCUUGUCUCUGAUAAAACUUUGGACUGUGAACUUUUGAGUUAAUGCUGAAAUGAGUUAACACUUUGGAGGACUGUUU
This 697-nucleotide long non-coding RNA is filed under the name Homo sapiens (human). Its description in RNAcentral is "HSALNT0149703". The record is from RNAcentral. Lineage: Eukaryota; Metazoa; Chordata; Mammalia; Primates; Hominidae.